This 568-nucleotide ribosomal RNA is filed under the name uncultured archaeon. RNAcentral's name for it is "bacterial SSU rRNA". It matches the Rfam family "Archaeal small subunit ribosomal RNA", at positions 326 to 900 of the family's 1478-position model. The record is from RNAcentral.
CGGGGUGCACCAGGCGCGAAAACUUUACAAUGCGGGAAACCGUGAUAAGGGGACACCGAGUGCCAGCAUCAUAUGCUGGCUGUCCAGGUGUGUAAAAUACACCUGUCAGCAAGGGCCGGGCAAGACCGGUGCCAGCCGCCGCGGUAACACCGGCGGCCCGAGUGGUGAUCGUGAUUAUUGGGUCUAAAGGGUCCGUAGCCGGUUUGGUCAGUCCUCCGGGAAAUCUGACGGCUCAACCGUUAGGCUUUCGGGGGAUACUGCCAGGCUUGGAACCGGGAGAGGUAAGAGGUACUACAGGGGUAGGAGUGAAAUCUUGUAAUCCCUGUGAGACCACCUGUGGCGAAGGCGUCUUACCAGAACGGGUUCGACGGUGAGGGACGAAAGCUGGGGGCACGAACCGGAUUAGAUACCCGGGUAGUCCCAGCCGUAAACGAUGCUCGCUAGGUGUCAGGCAUGGCGCGACCGUGUCUGGUGCCGCAGGGAAGCCGUGAAGCGAGCCACCUGGGAAGUACGGCCGCAAGGCUGAAACUUAAAGGAAUUGGCGGGGGAGCACAAGGGCGAUUCGCGG